AAACCCUNUGGAUAUUCAGAAUUGCAGAUUGUGCGUUCUCAGAGAAUCUNAGACCCCACAUUGCACCNUUNGGUAUUCCAGAGGGUAUGCCUGUNUGAGCGUCAUUUCUCUCUCAAACAAUCGGGUUUGGUAUUGAGUGAUACUCUGUCAAGGGUUAACUUGAAAUAUUGACUUAGCAAGAGUGUASUAAUAAGCAGUCUUUCUGAAAUAAUGUAUUAGGUUCUUCCAACUCGUUAUAUCAGCUAGGCAGGUUUAGAAGUAUUUUAGGCUCGGCUUAACAACAAUAAACUAAAAGUUGACCUCAAAUCAGGUA
RNAcentral lists this ribosomal RNA (313 nucleotides) under fungal sp. 127 MCS-2014. RNAcentral describes it as "eukaryotic LSU rRNA". Lineage: Eukaryota; Fungi. The record is from RNAcentral.